Molecule: ribosomal RNA, 1012 nt
Filed under: Escherichia coli
Lineage: Bacteria; Pseudomonadati; Pseudomonadota; Gammaproteobacteria; Enterobacterales; Enterobacteriaceae
Description: partial 23S ribosomal RNA
Rfam family: Bacterial large subunit ribosomal RNA
Source: RNAcentral
CGGGACACGUGGUAUCCUGUCUGAAUAUGGGGGGACCAUCCUCCAAGGCUAAAUACUCCUGACUGACCGAUAGUGAACCAGUACCGUGAGGGAAAGGCGAAAAGAACCCCGGCGAGGGGAGUGAAAAAGAACCUGAAACCGUGUACGUACAAGCAGUGGGAGCACGCUUAGGCGUGUGACUGCGUACCUUUUGUAUAAUGGGUCAGCGACUUAUAUUCUGUAGCAAGGUUAACCGAAUAGGGGAGCCGAAGGGAAACCGAGUCUUAACUGGGCGUUAAGUUGCAGGGUAUAGACCCGAAACCCGGUGAUCUAGCCAUGGGCAGGUUGAAGGUUGGGUAACACUAACUGGAGGACCGAACCGACUAAUGUUGAAAAAUUAGCGGAUGACUUGUGGCUGGGGGUGAAAGGCCAAUCAAACCGGGAGAUAGCUGGUUCUCCCCGAAAGCUAUUUAGGUAGCGCCUCGUGAAUUCAUCUCCGGGGGUAGAGCACUGUUUCGGCAAGGGGGUCAUCCCGACUUACCAACCCGAUGCAAACUGCGAAUACCGGAGAAUGUUAUCACGGGAGACACACGGCGGGUGCUAACGUCCGUCGUGAAGAGGGAAACAACCCAGACCGCCAGCUAAGGUCCCAAAGUCAUGGUUAAGUGGGAAACGAUGUGGGAAGGCCCAGACAGCCAGGAUGUUGGCUUAGAAGCAGCCAUCAUUUAAAGAAAGCGUAAUAGCUCACUGGUCGAGUCGGCCUGCGCGGAAGAUGUAACGGGGCUAAACCAUGCACCGAAGCUGCGGCAGCGACGCUGAUGCGUUGUUGGGUAGGGGAGCGUUCUGUAAGCCUGUGAAGGUGUGCUGUGAGGCAUGCUGGAGGUAUCAGAAGUGCGAAUGCUGACAUAAGUAACGAUAAAGCGGGUGAAAAGCCCGCUCGCCGGAAGACCAAGGGUUCCUGUCCAACGUUAAUCGGGGCAGGGUGAGUCGACCCCUAAGGCGAGGCCGAAAGGCGUAGUCGAUGGGAAACAGG